Molecule: ribosomal RNA, 253 nt
Filed under: uncultured bacterium
Lineage: Bacteria
Description: partial 16S ribosomal RNA
Rfam family: Bacterial small subunit ribosomal RNA
Source: RNAcentral
UACGAAGGGGGCUAGCGUUGCUCGGAAUCACUGGGCGUAAAGCGCACGUAGGCGGCUUUCUAAGUCAGGGGUGAAAUCCUGGAGCUCAACUCCAGAACUGCCUUUGAUACUGGAGAGCUAGAGUCCGGAAGAGGUGAGUGGAACUGCGAGUGUAGAGGUGAAAUUCGUAGAUAUUCGCAAGAACACCAGUGGCGAAGGCGGCUCACUGGUCCGGUACUGACGCUGAGGUGCGAAAGCAUGGGUAGCAAACAGG